CAGUCGCCACGGGAAAACGGAGGGAGCUGGCGUUGUUCGGAAUUACUGGGCGUAAAGCGCGCGUAGGCGGUUACUCAAGUCAGAGGUGAAAGCCCGGGGCUCAACCCCGGAACUGCCUUUGAAACUAGGUGACUAGAAUCUUGGAGAGGUCAGUGGAAUUCCGAGUGUAGAGGUGAAAUUCGUAGAUAUUCGGACGAACACCAGUGGCGAAGGCGACAUACUGGAUCACUACUGACGCUGAGGCUCGAAAGCGUGGGGAGCAAACAGGAUUAGAUACCCCUGUAGUCCCUGUCUCUUAUAC
Molecule: ribosomal RNA, 301 nt
Filed under: uncultured bacterium
Lineage: Bacteria
Description: partial 16S ribosomal RNA
Rfam family: Bacterial small subunit ribosomal RNA
Source: RNAcentral